GAUGAACGCUGGCGGCGUGCCUAAUACAUGCCAGUCGAGCGAACGGACGAGAAGCUUGCUUCUCUGAUGUUAGCGGCGGACGGGUGAGUAACACGUGGAUAACCUACCUAUAAGACUGGGAUAACUUCGGGAAACCGGAGCUAAUACCGGAUAAUAUUUUGAACCGCAUGGUUCAAAAGUGAAAGACGGCCUUGCUGUCACUUAUAGAUGGAUCCGCGCUGCAUUAGCUAGUUGGUAAGGUAACGGCUUACCAAGGCAACGAUGCGUAGCCGACCUGAGAGGGUGAUCGGCCACACUGGAACUGAGACACGGUCCAGACUCCUACGGGAGGCAGCAGUAGGGAAUCUUCCGCAAUGGGCGAAAGCCUGACGGAGCAACGCCGCGUGAGUGAUGAAGGUCUUCGGAUCGUAAAACUCUGUUAUUAGGGAAGAACAUAUGUGUAAGUAACUGUGCACAUCUUGACGGUACCUAAUCAGAAAGCCACGGCUAACUACGUG
Molecule: ribosomal RNA, 497 nt
Filed under: uncultured bacterium
Lineage: Bacteria
Description: partial 16S ribosomal RNA
Rfam family: Bacterial small subunit ribosomal RNA
Source: RNAcentral